AUAUAUAUUUCUUAUCAGCUAAGAUGGUGUGAUCAUUUAUUGAAAACAAUUUUACUAAUAUUCAUUUUCUAUUUUUGGUAUAUGCUCUUAGUUUAACCAUUUCAUUUUUCAAAUCCUUAUCUUUUAAUUUCCUGGUUAAAUUUUAUAAA
This is a non-coding RNA of Notechis scutatus (mainland tiger snake), 149 nucleotides long. Lineage: Eukaryota; Metazoa; Chordata; Lepidosauria; Squamata; Elapidae. The record is from RefSeq and is a predicted model, not a curated record.